Molecule: long non-coding RNA, 187 nt
Organism: Mustela erminea (ermine)
Lineage: Eukaryota; Metazoa; Chordata; Mammalia; Carnivora; Mustelidae
Exons: 3
Source: RefSeq, a predicted model, not a curated record
GAGCGGGUGACCAUUUUCAAGAGCCAUCAAGCCACGAAGAAACCCAGCACGCUAUGGAGGGGAAAACCACCUCGGUGAUGGCUGACUCCCCAGGCAGCACAGAUCUUCAGGUCCUGCCAUGAUGGGAACAAGGGUGCAGAAGGUUAGGUCCCGUCUCCCUUUGGAAAUGACAAGCCUGUGUUUCCAG